UAAAUUUUCGCUACUAUUAUA
RNAcentral lists this non-coding RNA (21 nucleotides) under Caenorhabditis elegans. Lineage: Eukaryota; Metazoa; Nematoda; Chromadorea; Rhabditida; Rhabditidae. The record is from RNAcentral.